UUAAAAUCCAAUCCAAUACCAGUGAUAAGAUAACCGUACUGUACUGGCCGGUUCGUCGGUUUUGACCAGAAAACCGGCGAACUGGACCCCUAACCGGUACGGCAUGAGUAUUAUACCGGUCAAGUAACAAAACUGGUACGGCAUAGGUGUUAUAUCGGUCAAGUAACAAAACCGGUGAAAACCGGCCGGUUUUGACCAAAACCGGUGAAAACCGGCCGAUUUUGACCAAAACCGGUGAAAACCGGCGCUGGUGUUGGAAGACAGAUGUCCUUACCUCAGAAAAACUAGUCGGGAGAGCAAUUGCAACAUCCACGUAACAAGCCAAUGGACUCUGUAUAGCAUAAUAUGCUCUUAAAAUGUGUGGAGCACCAAAGAAUCAUCUCUUUUUAAAUUUCUGUAUGAAAAGAAUUCUGAGAGAAUAAAGGCAUUGCUUGGAUAAUCACAAAACAAGUCAAAGCUUCAACACUUUACAGUUUACACGGCUUUAAGUCUUCAACCCCUCUUUUGGUAUUAGGUUGCGUGUAUCUCCAAUAUAAACCCCAAUCUACGGUAAUGCUUUGUUUCAUUCUUUUGUCACUUUUUGUUUGUUUUACUUUCACCAAUUUUGGAUAAAAGAAGUUUAGUAUUUCUAUAUAGGGGAGGGAUCCACUUACUCCAAAAAACACUUACUCUUCAUCUUAGCCAUCCAAUCUUGAAAAAUUCAAUGGCUUAGAUGUACUCACCAAUUCAAACCAUUGGAUUUCCCAAGAAUGAAUGGUCAUGAUGUGGAGAUUGUACUGUUUAGGAACAUUGAUAUGAGAUAAGCUUAACUCCUUAGUGUCAGAUGUUAGAAAUCUAAAUUUAUAUUUUGUAAAUUAAGUUGUGAACCUUUGUCAUUUAUUUAU
Molecule: non-coding RNA, 884 nt
Organism: Lupinus albus (white lupine)
Lineage: Eukaryota; Viridiplantae; Streptophyta; Magnoliopsida; Fabales; Fabaceae
Source: the annotation of a GenBank genome assembly